This 1416-nucleotide ribosomal RNA is filed under the name uncultured prokaryote. RNAcentral describes it as "partial 16S ribosomal RNA". It matches the Rfam family "Bacterial small subunit ribosomal RNA". The record is from RNAcentral.
AUGAACGCUGGCGGCGUGCCUAACACAUGCAAGUCGAACGAAGAGGCCCCUUCGGGGGCACUUCAGUGGCGGACGGGUGAGUAACACGUAGGUAACCUGCCCCGAAGUGGGGAAUAACAGUCCGAAAGGACCGCUAAUACCCCAUGUGAUCGCAAGAUUAAAGCCCCCUUCGGCCGGCGCUCUGGGAGGGGCCUGCGGCCCAUCAGCUUGUUGGUAGGGUAACGGCCUACCAAGGCGAAGACGGGUAGGGGACGUGAGAGCGUGGCCCCCCACACUGGUACUGAAACACGGACCAGAUACCUACGGGUAGCAGCAGCAAGGAAUAUUGCCCAAUGGACGAAAGUCUGAGGCAGCAACGCCGCGUGGAGGAUGAAGGCCUUCGGGUUGUAAACUCCUUUUCUGGGGGAAGAGAAAGGACGGUACCCCAGGAAUAAGUCUCGGCUAACUACGUGCCAGCAGCCGCGGUAAAACGUAGGAGGCGAGCGUUAUCCGGAUUUACUGGGCGUAAAGCGCGUGCAGGCGGCUUUUUAAGUCGGACGUGAAAGCUCCCGGCUCAACUGGGAGGCGCCGUUCAAUACUGCGAGACUAGAGGGCAGGAGAGGGAGGUGGAAUUCCCGGUGUAGUGGUGAAAUGCGUAGAUAUCGGGAGGAACACCAGUGGCGAAGGCGGCCUCCUGGCCUGCUCCUGACACUAAGACGCGAAAGCUAGGGGAGCGAACGGGAUUAGAAACCCCGGUAGUCCUAGCCAUAAACGAUGGAUGUUAGGUGUCGGUGGUAUAGACCCCAUCGGUGCCGAAGCUAACGCGUUAAACAUCCCACCUGGGGACUACGACCGCAAGGUUAAAACUCAAAGGAAUUGACGGGGGCCCGCACAAGCAGCGGAGCGUGUGGUUUAAUUCGAUACUACGCGAAGAACCUUACCCGGGUUUGACAUGUAGGUGGUAGUGAAGCGAGAGCGGAACGACCCUUCGGGGAGCCUACACAGGUGCUGCAUGGCUGUCGUCAGCUCGUGCCGUGAGGUGUUAGGUUAAGUCCUGUAACGAGCGCAACCCUCGUCGUCAGUUAUAUGUGUCUGGCGAGACUGCCGGUCAAAAACCGGAGGAAGGCGGGGACGACGUCAAGUCAGCAUGGCCUCUAUGUCCGGGGCUACACACACGCUACAAUGGCCGGUACAAUGGGUAGCCAAGCCGCGAGGCGGAGCCAAUCCUCCAAAGCCGGUCUCAGUUCGGAUUGUAGGCUGCAACCCGCCUGCAUGAAGCUGGAGUUGCUAGUAACCGCGCGUCAGCCAUAGUGCGGUGAAUACGUUCCCGGGCCUUGUACACACCGCCCGUCACGUCAUGGGAGCUGGUAACACCUGAAGCCGGUGUGCCAACCGCAAGGGGGCAGCCGUCGAAGGUGGGAUCGGUGACUGGGACGA